GACGAACGCUGGCGGCGUGCUUAACACAUGCAAGUCGAACGGAAAGGCCCUGCUUUUGUGGGGUGCUCGAGUGGCGAACGGGUGAGUAACACGUGAGUAACCUGCCCUUGACUUUGGGAUAACUUCAGGAAACUGGGGCUAAUACCGGAUAGGAGCUCCUGCUGCAUGGUGGGGGUUGGAAAGUUUCGGCGGUUGGGGAUGGACUCGCGGCUUAUCAGCUUGUUGGUGGGGUAGUGGCUUACCAAGGCUUUGACGGGUAGCCGGCCUGAGAGGGUGACCGGCCACAUUGGGACGGAGAUACGGCCCAGACUCCUACGGGAGGCAGAAGGGGGGAAUAUUGAACAAUGGGCGGAAGCCUGAUGCAGAAACGCCGCGUGCGGGAUGACGGCCUUCGGGUUGUAAACCGCUUUCGCCUGUGACGAAGCGUGGGUGACGGUAAUGGGUAAAGAAGCACCGGCUAACUACGU
RNAcentral lists this ribosomal RNA (467 nucleotides) under uncultured bacterium. RNAcentral's name for it is "partial 16S ribosomal RNA". It matches the Rfam family "Bacterial small subunit ribosomal RNA", at positions 28 to 506 of the family's 1533-position model. The record is from RNAcentral.